AAUGAACGCUGGCGGCAUGCCUAACACAUGCAAGUCGAGCGGACGAACGGGGCUUUCUCCCGUAUUCAGCGGCGGACGGGUGAGUAAUGCCUAGGAAUCUGCCUGGCCUAUGGGAAUAACGUCCGGAAACGGGAGCGGAUAACACAUACGUUCAGAUGGUGAAAGUGGGGGAUCAUUGGACCUAACGCUAUUAGAUGAGCCUGGGUCGGAUUAGCUAGUUGGUUAGGUAAAGGCCUACCAAGGCGACGAUCCGUAACUGGUCUGAGAGGCUGAUCAGGCACACUGGAACUGAGACACGGUCCAGACUCCUACGGGAGGCAGCAGUGGGGAAUCUUAGGCAAUGGGCGAAAGCCUGACCCAGCCAUGCCGCGUGUGUGAAGAAGGUCUUCGGAUUGUAAAGCACUGUUAGUUGGGAGGAACAGCAGUAUGUGUAUACCUUGAUGUUUUGACGGUACCUACUGAAUAAGCACCGGCUAACUACGUG
This 484-nucleotide ribosomal RNA is filed under the name uncultured bacterium. RNAcentral's name for it is "partial 16S ribosomal RNA". It matches the Rfam family "Bacterial small subunit ribosomal RNA", at positions 29 to 507 of the family's 1533-position model. The record is from RNAcentral.